GCUGGGCGUGGUGGUGGGCGCCUGUAAUCCCAGCUACUUGGAAGGCUGAGGCGGGAGAAUCACUUGAACCCGGGAGGCAGAGGUUGCAGUGAGCCGAGAUCACGCCACUGCACUCCUGCCUGGGCAACAGAGUGAGACUCUGCCUCAA
RNAcentral lists this non-coding RNA (148 nucleotides) under Homo sapiens (human). The record is from Rfam by way of RNAcentral. Lineage: Eukaryota; Metazoa; Chordata; Mammalia; Primates; Hominidae.